This 348-nucleotide unclassified non-coding RNA is filed under the name soil metagenome. RNAcentral describes it as "partial contains 5.8S ribosomal RNA, internal transcribed spacer 2, and large subunit ribosomal RNA". The stretch from base 1 to 120 matches the Rfam family "5.8S ribosomal RNA", at positions 35 to 154 of the family's 154-position model. The record is from RNAcentral.
GAUGAAGAACGUAGUGAAAUGCGAUAAGUAAUGUGAAUUGCAGAAUUCAGUGAAUCAUCGAAUCUUUGAAUGCACAUUGCGCCCGCCAGUAUUCUGGCGGGCAUGCCUGUCUGAGCGUCAUUUCAACCCUCAUGCCCCUAGGGCGUGGUGUUGGGGAUCGGCCAAAGCCCGCGAGGGACGGCCGGCCCCUAAAUCUAGUGGCGGACCCGUCGUGGCCUCCUCUGCGAAGUAGUGAUAUUCCGCAUCGGAGAGCGAUGAGCCCCUGCCGUUAAACCCCCAACUUUCCAAGGUUGACCUCAGAUCAGGUAGGAAUACCCGCUGAACUUAAGCAUAUCAAUAAGCGGAGGA